UGGAUUUUAGACGAUGAAAGGCUGACUCAAUGCCAUUGAGAGCUGCAUUUUCGCGCUGAUCAAUUUCCCUCGGUACAUUUUUAGCUGCCUCAGCCUGAUUACAAAUUGUUUGCACCUCAUGAUUUGCAAUCUCAUACGCUGCAACACAUUUUUCUUCCUCGUAUUUCAAAUCCCCUUCCUCCUGUUUAAGAACAGCCACACAUUCUUUCAGCUUACCAAUCAGUUCCAUCGCGUCUACUAUCUGUCUUUCUAAACUUUCCUUCAUUUUCAUGAUCAUCGCGAUAUGUCCUUGAGAACAGCAACACUAUUGAAAUGCCUCCAUCAAUGGCAUGUUUUGAAACUGCUGAAUUCUGAGUGCCCGAUCAUUAAUCAAACUGCUCAUAUCUUCGGUCAAUAAGGUAUCCAAGUCAAGCAGAUUUUCCCUCUCUUCGAUUUCAGACUUGAGUUUCUCUAAUUCAGCUUUCAUCGAUUGAAGAUUCUUCUUAUCAUCAUUAAUCUGUUCCACGAUCCUAUUCUUCUCAUCGUUGAGCUUUUUUGUCUCAACAAUACAAUUUACCGCAUUUUUAAUCUCAUCAAGUCGAGUUUCUAGCCACUUGACAUUCACCUUCAUUUUCUCAGCAUCCCUGACUACAGAGCAAUAGGAGUUGAAGAGAUCACAAUCGAAUUCAGCCAAGUGUUUCUUUUGGAGUUCUUGAACAACCUUACAUAUAGCUUCUAGUACAGAAGUCAACAUGUAACCCGACUCCAAUGAACAAUCACUUGUAAUGUCUCCGUACUCUUUGACAAUGGCUAGAAAGGUUGGUUCAAGACUCGGGCUCAUGCUAAUUGAUUUUUUCGCCAAUUUUGUACUUUCUUUUACUUUAUCAAAUGCAAUUGCCACUUGUUGAAGGAAAUUGACAUCAAUCCUGCAAAUUAACUCAUUAUCAACAUUCUUCUUUGUUUUGUGAUCACAUCGAGUAACAUUAGUCAUUCGCCCUUCUUCUACUAUCAAGGGACUAACCAUUAUCCCUUGAAGAACAGUAGUACAAAGCAGAGGACUUUCAAAAGUACCUCCAUGAAUAAUAUCAGGUGCAACAUCUUCAAUUUCUGUCUUCACUACUGUUAUCAAUCCUGACUGUGGCUGCAUAGCUGGUGAAGUAUUAGUUUGGCCUAACUGAUUUUUCGCCACAGUACUAAUCGGACUUCCUUUAGCUAUGGUUGCUGCAUCGGUCUGAUUAAUCGAUGGUCUGAAUGAUGUCACGCGAUCUUGAACACCAACUGUAGGGGUGUUACACAUGUAAAUGACCAAAUUAAGAGCAAUCUAAUCAUCAAACCAACAAGUUAAAAAUGAAGAACAGAGUUUACAUUUUCCGUUAGUAAAUUAACAAAAUGAACUCCAACAAAGUAUACCUUAAAAUUAUAUCAUCAUAGUGAGUGAUAGAGACAUCUCUAUUUGACUAAUCUAUUUUUUUUUAUGACCAAAGAAUCCAUCUACGAUCACAACAUUCAAAACUCGGGAUAAUAGGCUUGUCCCUCUGCCCUUCUCCAUUUAAAUACUUCGUGCAACACAAGGCUCGAACUUGUAACCUAACUUAACAACUUUUGUUACUCACUAGUUAUUUUCUAUCAAAAGCAUCGGUGGGAGUGCUUCAACCUUAACUAGAGGUUUCGGGUUCGAGCCUUGGCUAUGGAAAAAAUCCUGUUGGAAGCAACACUCCCAAACAAGCCCGUGUACGAUUCGGAUUUAGUUGGGGCUCCAAUGUGAGCUUCGGACAUCGGGUGAGAAAUAAAAAAAAAGCUUAAUCCAACACUUUACUUUUUAUUUAUUUAAAUAAGCACUUUUGACUUUCUAAAAGCUUGGCUAAACAGACUGUAAAUUCUAUAAAACCUUAAAAUGAACAUAAAAGAACUGGAACAGAGGAUUUGCUCACCUGAUGGUUUCUGUUUGUGUGAAGAAGGCUGAUGUUGAAUAUGGGUCGGGUCAAAUGAAUGUGGUGUGGGUCUUUUUCUUGACCCAUGACCCGAAAUCUUCCCCACAACUUGACCCGUUUUGUUCUCAAAUCCAGGUGGUAUUUCUAAAUCAAAGUUUUUCUCUGUCAUUAUUACUAAGGAGUUUUGGACUGUAAAAAAUGGAGAAAAGUGCAGAGGAAGAAAUGGAGAAAAAAGAGAUGGAUAGAAACUGAUAAAAAAAAAAUUUGGAGAAAGAUGGUAGAAAUUUUCUUUGCACUGAUGUUAUUGCAGAUACACAAAAAUAGAAAGCAAAAAAGCAAAUAAGUAUGGGAAAAAGAUUUAGAUUAAAAAAACGAGUUUUAAUAUUUCAAAAAUAGAUUUUUAUCAUCAAUAUUUUACCUAUAAUGCUAUAACAUUAAUUAUUUAUUUUUCAAUUCAUUUUACGAGAUCUAAUUCAUUUCAUGAAAUUCAAAAUAAUACAUCAACUAGAUAUUAUGAUAAAAUAUUUAUGUUAAUCAUUAUUUCUUAAGGACAUGCAAAAUUAAAAAUUGAACGAGUAAAAGUGAACAUAAGAUUCUCAUGAGAAGUAUAUUAGGAAACACGUUAAUAGUCUGAUCAAACUACUCAAAUAUCCUUAUUUUGAGAAGUCUUUUUUAAACAUUUUCUAAGUACUUUCUUAGUCCAAAAAUGAAGUGUUGUUUUAGAGUGAGUAUUUUUUUAUGUUCAUUAAGAAAAAUAAUAAAUACUAUUAAGAUGUAUUAAACAUAUAAUUGAAAACAAUUACUACUGAUUAUUGUUUCGAAUAUUCUAAUUGGUAAUUGGUUCCAGUUCAUUUAAUUAAUGCACCAAACUUCAAAAGAAAUUAUCUCUAAGCCCCUAUGGUUUGCUACUUCCAAACCUGGUUGUCGCGAGUUGAAGUAAAGUCAGUUCUAUUUUCAGACAAUCACACCAAUACGUAACGACUAAAACACAUACAAACUGAAGCUAAAAUCAUAUUCACAUGAACUCGUUUAUUUCAUUAACAAGACUUCUAAAAAGCUCAAUAAAACACCAUAAUUUACACGAAACAGUUAACGAGUGUACAUUAUAUCUGAAACUAAUAGUUAAGAUUGUAUGGAUUUUAGACGACGAAAGGCUGACUCAAUGCCAUUGAGAGCUGCAUUUUCGCGCUGAUCAAUUUCCCUCAGUACAUUCUUAGCUGCCUCAGCCUGAUUACAAAUGUUUUGCACCUCAUGAUUUGCAAUCUCAUACGCUGCAACACAUUUUUCUUCCUCGUAUUUCAAAGCCCCUUCCUCCUGUUUUAGAACAGCAACACAUUCUUUCAGCUUACCAAUCAGUUCCAUCGCGUCUACUAUCUGUCUUUCUAAACUUUCCUUCUUUUUCAUAACCAUCGCGAUAUGUCCUUGUGUUUGAGAGAUCUCAUCUUUAAGAUCAUUUGCACAAGUUAUUGCGUUUUCAUAUCUAGUCUUCAGCUCAACAGGAAAUGACUGCAUUUCUCUCUGUCUCUUAGCUGUGAGCAAAUCAUAAUGAUACGCGAUGAAAUCUCUAACAUUGUUGUAGAAAGAUGAAUAAUCUGCUUCAAGAAAAUCCAAGUUGAAGAAGGCAUUGUUCGCACACUUAAUCAUUGCUUCAAUGUUUUUCAUGCUUCCAGAGGUGAGUUGGAACACCAAAACUGACUUGACAUGAGAGAUCAUGGUCUUUGAUUCUUCGUUGAUGUGAGAAGAUGAAAAAUCAUUAAUCCGAAGACGUGGAUUUGGUGGUGGACUCAGUAAUGACAACGGAUUCAGAUUUAUCUUUUCAUCUUUCUGUUCUUCUUCAUCUAUGAUUAGUAGAGGCGUAUUUAUGUUCGAUCCCGAUGGAAUUGUUGGCAUUGCCAUCGAUGACGCUUCAAAAUCAACAAUAUCAUAAGAUAUAGUACUUUUUGAAACUUCACUUCAAAAUCUAAAAUAUCAAAACUUUACUUUAUGAGUUCAAUUGAACCCAUACCAACAUUGAUACAUCCUCCCCUUAGU
RNAcentral lists this long non-coding RNA (3941 nucleotides) under Solanum tuberosum (potato). RNAcentral describes it as "long non-coding RNA (STUB_LNC008607)". Lineage: Eukaryota; Viridiplantae; Streptophyta; Magnoliopsida; Solanales; Solanaceae. The record is from RNAcentral.